GUAGUAGUAGUACUACUACUACUAGUAGUAGUAGUAGUAGUAAUAUUGUUGUUGUUAAACCACCUUCCUAUUUGCGAUUAGUAAAGGCUACUUAAAUAUACUCCACUCCUCUUAAACUUCAAUUUUCUUUUAGGAGGGUGAGUGGUUCUGGAGCGAUGGGACACGAUUCGGUUAUUCCAACUGGUGUCCUGGAGAACCAAAUAACACCCAAGGCCAGCAUUGCCUUCAGAUCAAUCAUGGAAAUGGAAAGUGCUGGGAUGACCUCAGCUGUCAUGAGAAUAGACCGUCCGUCUGUGCCAAGAAAAUCUGAUGGUUCCUGUGCUGCCACAGAGACUUGAAAGCAUCUUUCUUUUUCUUUUGAGUUUCUUCAUCACAUUUCAAAUCUGUAUCGCUGUAAUGCUGCUUAAGGAAUGAAGCGACAAGUGACAUAAACUGGAGCUGGACUGUCUCUUUGGCCUUGUGCUUUUAAAUAAGAGCAGACUGAAUGUGUUAUGAAAAGAAUGCCUUCUGCUAAGUGUACUGAUAUUUCUUCAUUCAAUAAUAAUAAAGGCUCAAGCAUUGAACAAA
Molecule: long non-coding RNA, 567 nt
Organism: Larimichthys crocea (large yellow croaker)
Lineage: Eukaryota; Metazoa; Chordata; Actinopteri; Sciaenidae
Exons: 2
Source: RefSeq, a predicted model, not a curated record